Molecule: small nuclear RNA, 120 nt
Organism: Mesocricetus auratus (golden hamster)
Lineage: Eukaryota; Metazoa; Chordata; Mammalia; Rodentia; Cricetidae
Source: Ensembl
AUGCUAUAUGGAAGGAGAGGUUAGCGCUCCCCUUGACAAGGAUGGAGGGGCUUGAGCCUCACAACACACAUGUAGUUAAGGCACUGGCAUGGAAGCUGUGGCAUCCGAUCACUGUCUUUA